GACAGGGGGGACAAGUGUUACUCAUCAUGACUGGGCGUAAAGGGCAUCUAGGCGGUCUAGUGGUGUUUUCUGUGAAAUACUUUGGAAGGUUCAAAGUCUACAGUUUAUACUCUUAGGCUUGAGUUUGUUAUACGGUCGCUGAACUCUUAAUAUAAGGGUGGAAUCUCUAGAUAUUAAGGGGACAACCAAUGGCGAAGGCAGCGGCCGAGGGCGUAACUGACGCUGAUAUGCGAAGGCGUGGGGAUCGAACGGG
This 253-nucleotide unclassified non-coding RNA is filed under the name uncultured bacterium. Its description in RNAcentral is "contains 16S-23S intergenic spacer region". It matches the Rfam family "Bacterial small subunit ribosomal RNA", at positions 524 to 776 of the family's 1533-position model. The record is from RNAcentral.